GACGAACGCUGGCGGCGUGCUUAACACAUGCAAGUCGAACGGAAAGGCCCUGCUUUUGUGGGGUUCUCGAGUGGCGAACGGGUGCGUAACACGUGAGUAACCUGCUCUUGACUUUGGGAUAACUUCAGGUAACUGGGGCUAAUACCGUAUAGGAUCUCCUGCUGCAUGGUGGGGGUUGGAAAUUUUCGGCGGUUGGGGAUGGACUCGCGGCUUAUCAGCUUGUUGGUGGGGUAGUGGAUUACCCAGGCUUUGGCGGGUAGCCGGCCUGAGAGGGUGACCGGCGACAUGGGGACUGAGAUACGGCGCAGACUCCUACGGGAGGCAGCAGUGGGGAAUAUUGCACAAUGGGCGGAAGCCUGAGGCAGCAACGCCGCGUGCGGGAUGACGGCCUUCGGGUUGUAAACCGCUUUCGCCUGUGACGAAGCGGGAGUGACGGUAAUGGGUAAAGAAGCACCGGCUAACUACGUG
This 468-nucleotide ribosomal RNA is filed under the name uncultured bacterium. Its description in RNAcentral is "partial 16S ribosomal RNA". It matches the Rfam family "Bacterial small subunit ribosomal RNA", at positions 28 to 507 of the family's 1533-position model. The record is from RNAcentral.